RNAcentral lists this ribosomal RNA (315 nucleotides) under Strongylura notata (redfin needlefish). RNAcentral describes it as "partial large subunit ribosomal RNA". It matches the Rfam family "Bacterial large subunit ribosomal RNA", at positions 726 to 1126 of the family's 2925-position model. The record is from RNAcentral. Lineage: Eukaryota; Metazoa; Chordata; Actinopteri; Beloniformes; Belonidae.
UGAGCUACUCCAAGGCAGCCUAAAUAAAGGGCAAACCCGUCUCUGUGGCAAAAGAGUGGGAAGAACUUUGAGUAGAGGUGACAGACCUACCGAACUUAGUAAUAGCUGGUUGCCUGUAAAAUGGAUAGAAGUUCAGCCUAUUAACUUUUUUACCCUUAAUUGGUCUCACCCUUAAACCAGGCGCCAAGAAGUUAAUAGAGUUAGUCAAAGGAGGUACAGCUCCUCUGAAAAAAGAAACAACUUUAUAAAGGUGGUAAAAGAUUAAAAUUAUUAAGGUGCCAUGUUUUGGUGGGCCUAAAAGCAGCCACCUAGAAA